RNAcentral lists this ribosomal RNA (680 nucleotides) under uncultured bacterium. Its description in RNAcentral is "bacterial SSU rRNA". It matches the Rfam family "Bacterial small subunit ribosomal RNA", at positions 8 to 672 of the family's 1533-position model. The record is from RNAcentral.
AGGGUUUGGAUCAUGGCUCAUGACGAACGCUGGCGGCGUGCUUAACACAUGCAAGUCGAGCGAGAAAGCUCCUUCGGGAGCGAGUACAGCGGCGAACGGGUGAGUAUCACGUGGGCAACCUGCCCCAAGGAGCGGGACAACCCGGGGAAACCCGGGCUAAUACCGCAUGAUCCGCCACGGCAUAAGUCGUGGUGGCAAAUGGUAGCUUCGGCCUCCGCCUUGGGAUGGGCCCGCGCCGCAUUAGCUUGUUGGUGAGGUAACGGCUCACCAAGGCAUCGAUGCGUAGCUGGUCUGAGAGGACGAUCAGCCACACUGGGACUGAGACACGGCCCAGACUCCUACGGGAGGCAGCAGUGGGGAAUCUUGCGCAAUGGGCGAAAGCCUGACGCAGCAACGCCGCGUGAGGGAAGACGGCCUUCGGGUUGUAAACCUCUUUCAGGGGGGACGAAGCUUCCAGGGUUAAUAGCCCAUGGGGUUGACGGUACCCUCAAAAGAAGCCCCGGCUAACUACGUGCCAGCAGCCGCGGUAAUACGUAGGGGGCGAGCGUUGUCCGGAAUUAUUGGGCGUAAAGCGCGUGUAGGCGGCUUGGUAAGUUCUGGUGUGAAAACUUGGGGCUCAACUCCAAGCGUGCAUCAGAAACUGCCUCGCUUGAGUCCGGGAGGGGAGGGCGGAAUUCCUA